RNAcentral lists this ribosomal RNA (393 nucleotides) under uncultured bacterium. RNAcentral describes it as "partial 16S ribosomal RNA". It matches the Rfam family "Bacterial small subunit ribosomal RNA", at positions 523 to 918 of the family's 1533-position model. The record is from RNAcentral.
AUACGGAGGAUCCGAGCGUUAUCCGGAUUUAUUGGGUUUAAAGGGAGCGUAGGCGGACGCUUAAGUCAGUUGUGAAAGUUUGCGGCUCAACCGUAAAAUUGCAGUUGAUACUGGGUAUCUUGAGUACAGUAGAGGCAGGCGGAAUUCGUGGUGUAGCGGUGAAAUGCUUAGAUAUCACGAAGAACUCCGAUUGCGAAGGCAGCCUGCUGGACUGUAACUGACGCUGAUGCUCGAAAGUGUGGGUAUCAAACAGGAUUAGAUUCCCUGGUAGUCCACACAGUAAACGAUGAAUACUCGCUGUUUGCGAUAUACAGUAAGCGGCCAAGCGAAAGCGUUAAGUAUUCCACCUGGGGAGUACGCCGGCAACGGUGAAACUCAAAUGAAUUGACGGGG